This 253-nucleotide ribosomal RNA is filed under the name uncultured bacterium. Its description in RNAcentral is "partial 16S ribosomal RNA". It matches the Rfam family "Bacterial small subunit ribosomal RNA", at positions 524 to 776 of the family's 1533-position model. The record is from RNAcentral.
GACGAAGGGGGCUAGCGUUGUUCGGAAUUACUGGGCGUAAAGCGCGCGUAGGCGGUUCUUCAAGUCAGGCGUGAAAGCCCCGGGCUUAACCCGGGAAUAGCGCUUGAUACUGUGGGACUUGAGUCCGGGAGAGGAUAGUGGAAUUCCCAGUGUAGAGGUGAAAUUCGUAGAUAUUGGGAAGAACACCAGUGGCGAAGGCGAGUCUCUGGACAUUUCCUGACGCUGAGGCACGAAAGCCAGGGGAGCAAACGGG